GGACUACUGGGGUAUCUAAUCCUGUUUGCUCCCCACGCUUUCGCACCUGAACGUCAAUGUCAGACCAGGAAGCCGCCUUCGCCACUGAUGUUCCUCCAGAUAUCUACGCAUUUCACCGCUACACCUGGAAUUCCGCUUCCCUCUUCCACAUUCUAGCCAUGCAGUUUCGAAUGCAGUUCCCAGGUUAAGCCCGGGGAUUUCACAUCCGACUUACAAAGCCGUCUACGUGCGCUUUACGCCCAGUAAUUCCGAUUAACGCUCGCACCCUCUGUAUUACCGCGGCGGCUGGCAC
This 292-nucleotide ribosomal RNA is filed under the name uncultured bacterium. RNAcentral's name for it is "partial 16S ribosomal RNA". The record is from RNAcentral. RNAcentral also lists the same sequence under 1 other name.